This 483-nucleotide ribosomal RNA is filed under the name uncultured bacterium. RNAcentral's name for it is "partial 16S ribosomal RNA". It matches the Rfam family "Bacterial small subunit ribosomal RNA", at positions 28 to 507 of the family's 1533-position model. The record is from RNAcentral.
GACGAACGCUGGCGGCGUGCUUAACACAUGCAAGUCGAACGCUGAAGCUCAGCUUUUGUUGGGUGGAUGAGUGGCGAACGGGUGAGUAACACGUGAGUAACCUGCCUCCUUCUUUGGGAUAACGCCCGGAAACGGGUGCUAAUACUGGAUAUUCACUGGUCUUCGCAUGGGGGUUGGUGGAAAGGGUUUUUCUGGUGGGGGAUGGGCUCGCGGCCUAUCAGCUUGUUGGUGGGGUGAUGGCCUACCAAGGCUUUGACGGGUAGCCGGCCUGCGAGGGUGACCGGUCACAUUGGGACUGAGAUACGGCCCAGACUCCUACGGGAGGCAGCAGUGGGGAAUAUUGCACAAUGGGCGCAAGCCUGAUGCAGCGACGCCGCGUGAGGGAUGGAGGCCUUCGGGUUGUGAACCUCUUUCGCUCAUGGUCAAGCCGCAACAAUGGUUGUGGUGAGGGUAGUGGGUAAAGAAGCGCCGGCUAACUACGUG